This is a long non-coding RNA of Bubalus bubalis (water buffalo), 4665 nucleotides long. RefSeq lists it as uncharacterized. The transcript has 3 exons. The record is from RefSeq and is a predicted model, not a curated record. NCBI's taxonomy places the organism in Eukaryota, Metazoa, Chordata, Mammalia, Artiodactyla, Bovidae.
AUCACCUAGAAGAGGACACAGAGGUUGCUCGCUGGGGGAUGGCAAUGCCUAACAGUGCUGCUUUUGCAGAAAUCCCAUUUAGAAGGGAAACUCUGUGCGUGGUGUUUGUCUCCAAGUGCGGGGGUGGGGGGUGGCGCGGAGAACAUUCCCCAUCCUAGACGAGAAGUGUGGCCAUUUCAUGAUGUAGGGGUGCAGGGGAGCCCAAGCCCUCCUGAGGUGGCCCUCGCAAAGAGGGAAGGAUGGCUGGGUGCCAGAGGGAGUGGGGAGUGGGCAUCCAUGCUGGGCAGCGAGGACGCAGGUCCCUUUAGGAAGUCUGGUCCUUGCGGGGAGGGAGGUAUGAGAAAAGCAGGGCCACCUGGCUGGGGGAGGGGAGGGGAGAAGGCAGCGGUCCUACUGGACACAGACUGGAAGGGAGAGAAGGACCCAACAUGCACUCAGUCUAACUCGAGUAGCUUAGCCAGCACCCCCCAAGAGGGAACGUGGAAGGUCAAGGUGAACUAAUCUAUUUAAACGUACGCUAUAGUGGAGGAGUGCAUACAGAAAACACUUCUUUUUGGCCACGGGGCACUACUAACGGCCCACCUCCACCAGGCAGCCCACUGGGACUCUCCUAAGAGUUUUCCACGUCCUGUGUGAGGCAGAACAGCCCCCAACUCCUCCCCGAGUGAAGACCCAGCCUAGAAGACCCCUCGGAACCCUCCAGGCCCCAGGACCCCCUACCUUCAGGUUCCUGCGCACUUUGUCAAUGAAGAACUUCCAGCACGCCUCCCGGGUGUCUGUCAGGCCGAGGGACUUCACCUGGGGCCGCAUGGAGGAGAUGAUGUUCUCCACCUCAUCGUCCACGAACAGCCCCGGGAUCUCCCCCGAGGCCAGCAGGUCGUUGAUCAGCACCAGGAACUGCUCCUCGGCCACCUGGGAGUCGGUCAUCAGGAACACCGAGGGAACGUUCUUCACGGCUGACUUGAUGUACUGGGCGCCAAGGUCAAGCUGGACCGGAGGAAGACACCCUCAGAGGUCUCACCAAGAAGAUGCUCAUUCAGAAGCAUCUCGCACCACCACCCAGGGCAGGGGGGCACCCGCAGAUCGGCUCCAUAAGAAACGGCAGGGUCUGUAGAUGGAGACUUAGGGCCUCGAGGGGAGGAAGCCCACUUGUGGAGGCACCACUCGCCACAGUGCCGAACUGGAAGCAUCCCCGGGGUCCCUGGGCUGCUGACACAUGGCUGGCCCCUCACUCGGCUUAAAGCGUUUCUUCAGAGGGUUUGGCCCAGCUCUGGGGGCCAAUACUCUGGCCUCAGGAAGAGGGCUCCUAGAAGUCAAAAGCGUGCCACUGCCUGGCCUGGAGACUGUGUGUAGGGGGCCUGGAGAGCUGACCCAGUGGGUGGGAGCCCGGCUAAGCCCCGACGCCCACAGGUGCAGGCAGAGCGCUGGGCCAUGACGAGGGACUCGCUCUGUCUCUCCCUUCUCAUUGCACCACCCGGUUCCAGCCUUUGUGGGUCACCGGGGCUCCUGCGGCACCCCCUGCCCACCAUCACCCCUGAGCAAUCUCUGUUGUCUUCAAGCCAUCUUCCACUUUGCCCCAGAACACCACCACAUCCUGCCCUUCCUCUGCCCAAAUGUCCUUGAUGGUAUCUUGUUUUCUUGGGACCAUGUCCAGGAUUUUCCAUGAGGCACAUGAUGGCCCUCGGGCUUGGAUUCUGACCCUUCCCCCCGCCCCCAAGUCUCCGGCUUCCGGGGGGGGGAGGUCCAUGGCUGUUGCUAUGACUUUAUAAUAGAAUCGUGAACGUAUCUGUUAUACUAACAACAUAUACCUUGUUAACUUCUUACUGCAACACUACUAUCAGAACAAUAACAAUCCAUCUUCUAACCGUUCAGGAGUCUGCUUCCCCUAAUAGGAUGCAAGGUCCUAUAGGUCUGUUUAUAGCUGUCCGUACUUCCGAAUCUACAGAAGCUACUUAAUAAAUGAUGACAAGGGACGAGUGCAAAGCUGGCUCGUCAGGGGUGCAGGAGCAGUGAAUGGGGACGACACGGAUCACAGAGCUGCUGCAGCUCAUGCCAGGGAAUAAAAUAGCAACAGCCACGGGUGGUCCCAGGGUGAGGUAACGGGAACGAAGCCCUCACGAGGGCAAAGAGUAUGAUGCAAUCAUGAAGAUAAAAGCAAUAUGAUUAAGCUAACAGACUACAAGCUUUAUCAGUGGAGAAAACUCACUACCGCUACACGGCUCCGGGUGCAAGGAUUCUCUCCACUCUGAGAGCACUUGUGGGGUCAGUGAGGACCCGCUCGGCUCAGCUGACAAUCCACACACUCUGAUUCAAUCCAGGAGGCAGGACCUACAUUACUAAGACCUCAUCCUUAAGGCUUGGGUUUAAAAAUUAGAGCUGGCUAGUGUUUGAUAGAAAGAGUAGGCACUGGGGACUCUGACAGGCCGGACGCUCACCUGGAGGCUGCAGUCCCUGGCACAGCCUGAGAGCAGGGCCGAGAGCCAGCUGACCAUCCCUGUUAUCCUUCCUGGGGCCCCAGCCCUGCAGAUCACCCCGCCCUCUUGCUGAGAUCCCAGGGCGCCAGGCUCUGGUGGGGGUCCAGACCAUCCCCCCCUGCCCAAGGCCACCUGGGCAGUGACUGCCUUGCAGCCUUGAGUGGAGGGGCGGGUCCCCUGGGCCAGCCUCGUCCUGGCCCACAGAAGCACCAAAGCAAAGAGAGAGACACCAUGGGACACGGUCAAAUCAAUUUCAGCUCUAAUCUGAGCGGCGGCCAUGAUAAGCUCUAGACUAAUCAUGUUUGACUAGCUCACAGUUCCCCGAGAGAGCAAAUUUUCCGGAAAAAUAAAUCAAUAAAAAGCCUCGGCAGCACGUCCUGGGGAUGGGAGACCUGUUCGAGCUAAUGUUUAUUCAAUUAAUUCAGAGAGUGGCCCUCUCAGAACCCCAAGCAGGCGGUGAGACUGCUGGUUAGUACCGGUUCUGAAUGAUUGAAUCUGGAAAACCGGGAAAGACAAGGCAGCAGGCUGCGAUGACCAGAGGCCCCUGUCCUGAGUUCUGGGAGUGCAGCGAUGACGGGACAGACUCUGCCUUCAUGGAGCUCCCCUUGUAGCGGGGAGACAGAACCAGACAAAGUCACAAGAUCUCUGGCCUCCAGAAGCAGAAGAGGAUAACCCUCCAUUGUGUAAAGCUGCCUGGUUUGUGGUCCUUGGUCAUGGCGGCCACAGGACGCCAGCAAAGAGGGCGGACAGGUGAUGCUGAAGAAGACGGCACAGUGGUGCCAGGUCUCGGCGGCCCCCGGGCCCCUGUGAGUCAGGCCAGCUCCAGUCCCACCCCUGCCAGGCCACGGCGCUUGAGCACCCCUCCAGCCCCGGCCUUGCUGUGUGGGGAGCUGGGCUCACUUCCCACCACAGAGGCACACAGAGCACCAACUCUCCGCCUCCCCGGCUCCCCCUAACUCGCCUGCACCUGGAAACCCUCCCACCUCUGCUCCGCAGCGCUCAUCUUUCCCAGCUGCUUCAAGACUCAUUUCCAGAAAGACCCUCCUUUCGAGGGCCUCCUCCCAGUUCCUGCUCCUCGAAUUGUCACCUGGCUUCUGGCUCUGUCAUGCCAGGAAUCUGUUCUGCCUGAGUUAGCGGUCAGCUCCCAGCUGCCAAAAUCCAGCGGCAACUUUCUGUCCUUGGCUCCCUGAUGCUCCGGACGCGACCCUCUCAACCCUGCCUCCCCUCCUGAGGCUUCUUCCUCCCUGGGUGUGCGGGAGGCCACCUUCCGGUUUCCUUGCUGCCUGUUCUUUCUGGAAGCGCUUCCUCCCCACAUGUCUUAUCACGCUCCACGUGUCUCCUGGAGACCCAGUUUCCCCCGCACGGAGCAGCCUAGGGUCAGACACGCGGCAGGCACACAGGAAGCACUGGUUGAAGGUGUGGAUGGACGGAUGGUUGAACAAGAGCAGCCACGGUGUUUCUCGCGAGCCCGUCAGUCCUGGAACGCUGCACCGGGGUUUCUACGUAAGACCGUGCAGGACGUCCUGGUGUGUAAACGGCUAGCCAUGGGUCCAAGUGUGAAAAUGUACCUCCAAGUUCAAUGCCAAGCCUUCCUUUUCUUACGAUUUCAAACGUUUCUCACAUCCACCCCUCCUCCCCAUCCCCAGUGGCCACCUGUCGUCUGCUGGCAUGAACUCUUCCCUCCACAUCAGAGAAGGCCCCUGUGCCCGCCCCUAGGCUGGUCCAGGGCUGGUCCCUUCCUGCCAAGAGCAUCUUGAUGCCUCACGGUCCAUCCGCCAACACCAGACUGCUGCCUGUCCCUGGGAACCUCACACUCUCGCUCUGAUGUGCCUUAAAUGUUGGUUCUCACCUGAAACUCUUUCCACUCGGAAAGCUCCUUCUCCUCUGCAGGGGGGCGGGGGGUCAGCCCAAACUCCAGCUCCCCUAGGAAGACUUUCUGUCUCCACGACAGGCCCAGCCCCUCCCUUUCCACUUGCUUCAUCAGCCGCCAUGAUGCAGUCUCUGGGCAUGUCAUCACUUAUUCACACAUCUCUCCUGCGUCCUUGCAUUGCAGUGACCAUGCUGCCCGGGGAGGGCCUGGCACACAGCGCUUACCGUAUGAAUGAAUAAGCGAGUGGAUGAAUGCGUGCCCAGGCAACACUGAAAUACCACCACCCUUCCCUUUUUCUCUGCAUAGUUUGAAGGAGAACAA